UGCAGCUCAGUAGUAGAGCACUUGCUUAGCAUGUAUGAAGACCUGGGUUCAAUCCCCAGUUCUGCAA
RNAcentral lists this transfer RNA (67 nucleotides) under Fukomys damarensis (Damara mole-rat). It matches the Rfam family "tRNA". From Rfam's summary of the family: Transfer RNA (tRNA) molecules are approximately 80 nucleotides in length. Their secondary structure includes four short double-helical elements and three loops (D, anti-codon, and T loops). The record is from Rfam by way of RNAcentral. Lineage: Eukaryota; Metazoa; Chordata; Mammalia; Rodentia; Bathyergidae.